AGAGUUUGAUUCUGGCUCAGAACGAACGCUGGCGGCGCGUCUUAAGCAUGCAAGUCGAACGGCAAGAGGUAGCAAUACCUCCUAGAGUGGCGGACUGGUGAGUAACACGUGGGUGACAUACCCUUCAGAUGGGGAUAGCUAUUAGAAAUAGUAGAUAAUACCGAAUACGAGCACAGGGGUUAGAGAUCUGUGAGGAAAGGAGCUAAGGCUCCGCUGAAGGAAUGGCCUGCGGCCCAUUAGCUAGUUGGUGAGGUAAGAGCCCACCAAGGCGAUGAUGGGUAUCCGGCCUUAGAGGGUGAACGGACACAUUGGGACUGAGAUACGGCCCAGACUCCUACGGGAGGCAGCAGCUAAGAAUAUUCCGCAAUGGACGAAAGUCUGACGGAGCGACGCCGCGUGGAUGAAGAAGGCCGGAAGGUUGUAAAAUCCUUUUGAAACUGAAGAAUAAGCGUUGUAGGGAAUGACAGCGUGGUGACAGUAGGUUUUGAAUAAGCAACGGCUAAUUACGUGCCAGCCGCCGC
RNAcentral lists this ribosomal RNA (521 nucleotides) under uncultured bacterium. Its description in RNAcentral is "bacterial SSU rRNA". It matches the Rfam family "Bacterial small subunit ribosomal RNA", at positions 8 to 518 of the family's 1533-position model. The record is from RNAcentral.